Olea europaea var. sylvestris is the source of this 708-nucleotide long non-coding RNA. RefSeq lists it as uncharacterized. The record is from RefSeq and is a predicted model, not a curated record. Lineage: Eukaryota; Viridiplantae; Streptophyta; Magnoliopsida; Lamiales; Oleaceae. The transcript is spliced from 3 exons.
CUUGUAGACCUCCUAGGCCCAUUGUUAGCCCAUCGAAAAGGCGUACUGCCUACGCUUUUUGGAUGGCGGUGGGUUUCCUGUCUGACUAUGUAAACGCUACUUCCUUUUAGCGAUUUUCAAAUUGAUACCCACGAUUUCAGUUCUCGAAUUGAUCCUCUAGAUAGCUGGUGAGAGAAGGAUUUGGAACCCGCUUACGGACCCAAGUCGAUGAUUCGGACUCUUCAAGCUCGUCUCUACUCUGUCUCCAAAUUCCAAAUCCACAACGCGCGUGUUCGAUCGCAUAAGGUUUACGGUUGCCAUGGAAGCUCAAGUAGUCUCAUAGCUGGUAUACUUCAGGGCCACAAAGGACUGUGGUCAAAUAAAAACUCUUGUAAUGGGAUUAAAUCUUUUUGUACUGCUCAAGGUGCGUUUAGAUCCCUGACAGAAUAGUUUUUGGUGGCCUAUUGAGAUGCAAGCGAACUACAGUUUUGAUUGUGUGCAAUUUUAACAAUAUACGGAUCAUGACAUACUGACUGUACACACAGCAAAAUGGCUUUCUUCCUGUCAAUUUUUUCUGACGGUGAUCAGAAUGUUAAAUUGCUUGAUGUUCAGUUGUUUUGGAUCCUCUGCUUACGUGCAGGCUCUGUGAAAAUGCAAAUUGUGUGUAUAUUAGUGAAUAUUGAUCCAACCAAUUGUGGAAUUCUAUUUUUUUCAAGUGAAAUGUAUUUG